GGAAGUAAAAGUCGUAACAAGGUUUCCGUAGGUGAACCUGCGGAAGGAUCAUUACAGAAUCUCUUCUAAAGUUUUGUUAUGAGUAAUUAUUCUAGCGCUGCUGAAAUAUUGCGUGCGCGGUUGGUUGCUUGUGAUAAUUCUUUGGGAAAACUCUAUACACUUUGUUUUCUUAUUAGAGACAAACUUGCUUUGGUCAGAUGUGCGUAAAACCACGACUGAUCAGAGAUUAAAUAAAACUCAUUUUUGUUUUCGGGCAAAAAACGUGUAUUAUUCAUAGUCAAAACUUGAAGCUAUUCUUUAUUGAAUUGCUGAACUAAACUUAAAACUUUCAACAACGGAUCUCUUGGUUCUCGCAUCGAUGAAGAACGCAGCGAAGUGCGAUAAGUAAUGUGAAUUGCAGAUUUUCGUGAAUCAUCGAAUCUUUGAACGCAUAUUGCGCCCUCUGGUAUUCCGGAGGGCAUGCCUGUUUGAGCGUCAUUUCCUUCUCAUAUCCCUAGGAUGUGGUGAUGAGCGAUACUUUCGUAAGAAAGUUCGUUUGAAAUGAAUUGGCACGAGUCUUUCGACAGAUUGAUGCUAUGUUUUCAAUGUAUUAGGUUUACACCAUCGUUGAUUGUAGUAUUGGGCUGUUGAAGUUAUGGGCUUUGCUUUACAAACUUUACCUUAAAGUUGACCUCAAAUCAGGUAGGAUUACCCGCUGAACUUAAGCAUAUCAAUAAGCGGAGGA
RNAcentral lists this ribosomal RNA (724 nucleotides) under Gastrodia elata. RNAcentral describes it as "eukaryotic LSU rRNA". The stretch from base 324 to 477 matches the Rfam family "5.8S ribosomal RNA". Lineage: Eukaryota; Viridiplantae; Streptophyta; Magnoliopsida; Asparagales; Orchidaceae. The record is from RNAcentral.